AGAGUUUGAUCCUGGCUCAGGAUGAACGCCGGCGGUGUGCCUAAUACAUGCAAGUCGUACGCACUGGCCCAACUGAUUGAUGGUGCUUGCACCUGAUUGACGAUGGAUCACCAGUGAGUGGCGGACGGGUGAGUAACACGUAGGUAACCUGCCCCGGAGCGGGGGAUAACAUUUGGAAACAGAUGCUAAUACCGCAUAACAACAAAAGCCACAUGGCUUUUGUUUGAAAGAUGGCCUUGGCUAUCACUCUGGGAUGGACCUGCGGUGCAUUAGCUAGUUGGUAAGGUAACGGCUUACCAAGGCAAUGAUGCAUAGCCGAGUUGAGAGACUGAUCGGCCACAAUGGAACUGAGACACGGUCCAUACUCCUACGGGAGGCAGCAGUAGGGAAUCUUCCACAAUGGGCGCAAGCCUGAUGGAGCAACACCGCGUGAGUGAAGAAGGGUUUCGGCUCGUAAAGCUCUGUUGUUGGAGAAGAACGUGCGUGAGAGUAACUGUUCACGCAGUGACGGUAUCCAACCAGAAAGUCACGGCUAACUACGUGCCAGCAGCCGCGGUAAUACGUAGGUGGCAAGCGUUAUCCGGAUUUAUUGGGCGUAAAGCGAGCGCAGGCGGUUGCUUAGGUCUGAUGUGAAAGCCUUCGGCUUAACCGAAGAAGUGCAUCGGAAACCGGGCGACUUGAGUGCAGAAGAGGACAGCGGAACUCCAUGUGUAGCGGUGGAAUGCGUAGAUAUAUGGAAGAACACCAGUGGCGAAGGCGGCUGUCUGGUCUGCAACUGACGCUGAGGCUCGAAAGCAUGGGUAGCGAACAGGAUUAGAUACCCUGGUAGUCCAUGCCGUAAACGAUGAGUGCUAGGUGUUGGAGGGUUUUCCGCCCUUCAGUGCCGGAGCUAACGCAUUAAGCACUCCGCCUGGGGAGUACGACCGCAAGGUUGAAACUCAAAGGAAUUGACGGGGGCCCGCACAAGCGGUGGAGCAUGUGGUUUAAUUCGAAGCUACGCGAAGAACCUUACCAGGUCUUGACAUCUUGCGCUAACCUUAGAGAUAAGGCGUUCCCUUCGGGGACGCAAUGACAGGUGGUGCAUGGUCGUCGUCAGCUCGUGUCGUGAGAUGUUGGGUUAAGUCCCGCAACGAGCGCAACCCUUGUUACUAGUUGCCAGCAUUAAGUUGGGCACUCUAGUGAGACUGCCGGUGACAAACCGGAGGACGGUGGGGACGACGUCAGAUCAUCAUGCCCCUUAUGACCUGGGCUACACACGUGCUACAAUGGACGGUACAACGAGUCGCAAGCUCGCGAGAGUAAGCUAAUCUCUUAAAGCCGUUCUCAGUUCGGACUGUAGGCUGCAACUCGCCUACACGAAGUCGGAAUCGCUAGUAAUCGCGGAUCAGCAUGCCGCGGUGAAUACGUUCCCGGGCCUUGCACACACCGCCCGUCA
RNAcentral lists this ribosomal RNA (1435 nucleotides) under uncultured bacterium. Its description in RNAcentral is "bacterial SSU rRNA". It matches the Rfam family "Bacterial small subunit ribosomal RNA". The record is from RNAcentral.